GGGAAUGUAGCUCAGUGGUAGAGCACUUGUCUAACAUAUGUGAAACCCUGGGUUUAAUCCUCAGCACCACCA
Molecule: non-coding RNA, 72 nt
Organism: Ictidomys tridecemlineatus (thirteen-lined ground squirrel)
Lineage: Eukaryota; Metazoa; Chordata; Mammalia; Rodentia; Sciuridae
Source: Rfam